CAUGCAAGUCGAACGAAGUAGCAAUACUUAGUGGCAGACGGGUGAGUAACAUGUGGGUAUCUACCCUUUGGCCUGGAAUAACACGAGGAAACUUGUGCUAAUACCGGAUAAGUCUUUACGGAGAAAGCUUUAUGCACCAUUGGAUGAGCCCGCAAUUGAUUAGUUUGUUGGUGGGGUAAUGGCCUACCAAGACUGUGAUCAAUAGCUGAUUUGAGAGGAUGAUCAGCCACAUUGGGACUGAGACACGGCCCAAACUCCUACGGGAGGCAGCAGUGGGGAAUCUUGCACAAUGGAGGAAACUCUGAUGCAGCGAUGCCGCGUGAGUGAAGAAGGCCCUUGGGUUGUAAAGCUCUUUCGUCGGGGAAGAAAAUGACUGUACCCGAAUAAGAAGGUCCGGCUAACUUCGUGCCAGCAGCCGCGGUAAUACGAAGGGACCUAGCGUAGUUCGGAAUUACUGGGCUUAAAGAGUUCGUAGGCGGUUGAAAAAGUUGGUGGUGAAAUCCCAGAGCUUAACUCUGGAACUGCCAUCAAAACUUUUCAGCUAGAGUUUGAUAGAGGAAAGCAGAAUUUCUAGUGUAGAGGUGAAAUUCGUAGAUAUUA
RNAcentral lists this ribosomal RNA (600 nucleotides) under uncultured Alphaproteobacteria bacterium. RNAcentral describes it as "bacterial SSU rRNA". It matches the Rfam family "Bacterial small subunit ribosomal RNA", at positions 54 to 699 of the family's 1533-position model. Lineage: Bacteria; Pseudomonadati; Pseudomonadota; Alphaproteobacteria. The record is from RNAcentral.